GUUACACCACAGUGAUCACACACACACACACACACACACACACACAGUUGUGGUGUUUGCAUAUGUGUGCUGUGUCAGUGCUGCACACACUUUAAGAGCUGUAGUGCUGAUCAGAGUGUGUUCAGUCCUUUCAGAGCCACUGACACGCAGCACAAUGAUGAUGGUACUGAUUCUACUGCUGGGGACACUGGGACUCCUCGCUCACCAGUCCUUUGGGGAAAUCGUCCUGACUCAGUCUCCAGGAUCUCAGUCUGUUUCUCCAGGACAAUCUGUUACUCUCACCUGUAGAGCCAGUCAGACUGUUAGCAAUGACCUCCACUGGUACCUGCAGAAACCUGGAGAAGCUCCUAAACUCCUGAUCUAUAAUGAUGUUACACGGUACACUGGGGUUCCAGAUCGUUUCAGUGGCAGUGGAUCUGGUUUGCAAUUUAGUCUAAAAAUCUCUGGAGUUCAGCCUGAAGAUGCAGGAGAUUAUUACUGUCAGCAGAGUGAGACACGGCCGUACACACAGUGUUAUAGCGUGGUACAAAAACCUCCCUCAGCUGUAGAGGAAGUGCUCUGACUCAGAAACACACACUGAUCUGAGAACAGCUGCAGAGCUGCUAAAGCUGCACUCCACUGAACAUCAACUACAAACCACUACAGCACUGAGAAUUUUUCUCUUUUCUCUGGAUUUACCAGACAAUUGUGUUCACAUUAGGAAUGUCCUGUUUCACACCAUGUACCAAAGAUGUACAAGUUAGCACCUAAGGGUUCCAGCAAGAAGGUUGUAAUGUAUUCCCCUUCUCUCAGCGCAUAUUGUGAGACUACGGUGGUGGAUCUCUGACCCACUAGGAGGGCCUGGGGGCAUUCUCCCCAUAAGAAAAUUUAGUAAGAAAAUUGUGUACAUUAUAAAGUUAAAUGCAUCAAUGUGGUCCACUUUGAGAGCAAAAUUAAGAGGCUAGAUCUAUGGAGAACUUUGCGUUCUUGUAAAGAAUUGUGUGCUCUACUAGUAGUUUGAUCAUGACAUUGGUUGUAUAGAUAUGAACGGUGAUGACACGGUAAACAAUUCACACCCAUAAAGCCUGGUAAACGAGAGAGAGUUUAACGUAGUUCACAAACUUGACUAGAGCAAACAAUUGAGGCAUCAAAGAAAUGGAGUAUAAGUGGUUACCUGUGUUGAACUGGUUUAUUUUUUAGAAAAUAUAAAUAUAUACUGGAUGAGGAGGACAUGGUAUUGAUCAACUCUCCCUACGUCCCUAUUGGAAAACUUUAAUUUCCUGGGCUUUAAGUAAAAGAGUUCCAAUGUCCUUUUGUGACUGACUUGGAGUGAGAGAUGCUUUGCCAUUAUUAUGAGAAGUGUAAAAAUAUUUUAGUUCAUUAUGAAACUGUGGCUGGACAAAUUAGUCUGUGACGGGCCGCCGUAGUCUAGGUAAUUAAUGGGAAACACUGAAUUUG
This is a non-coding RNA of Ictalurus furcatus (blue catfish), 1437 nucleotides long. The record is from the annotation of a RefSeq genome assembly. NCBI's taxonomy places the organism in Eukaryota, Metazoa, Chordata, Actinopteri, Siluriformes, Ictaluridae.